This 416-nucleotide ribosomal RNA is filed under the name uncultured bacterium. RNAcentral describes it as "bacterial SSU rRNA". It matches the Rfam family "Bacterial small subunit ribosomal RNA", at positions 11 to 417 of the family's 1533-position model. The record is from RNAcentral.
GUUUGAUCCUGGCUCAGAGCGAACGUUAGCGGCGGGGCCUAACACAUGCAAGUCGAACGGGCUGUAGCAAUACAGUCAGUGGCGCACGGGUGAGUAACGCGUAGAUAAUCUACCUUCCGGCGGGGAUAACAUUCCGAAAGGAAUGCUAAUACCGCAUAAGACCACGGGGUCCUCGGGCCCUGAGGGAAAAGGUGGCCUCUCCUUGGAAGCCAUCACCGGAAGAUGAGUCUGCGUCCCAUCAGCUAGUUGGUAAGGUAAUGGCUUACCAAGGCGAAGACGGGUAGCUGGUCUGAGAGGAUGAUCAGCCACACUGGUACUGGAACACGGACCAGACUCCUACGGGAGGCAGCAGUGGGGAAUAUUGGGCAAUGGGCGAAAAGCCUGACCCAGCCACGCCGCGUGAGUGAUGAAGGCCU